UCGAGAAUUUUUCACAAUGGACGAAAGUCUGAUGGAGCGACGCCGCGUGGAGGAUGAAGGUUUUCGGAUUGUAAACUCCUGUCACUGCAGAACAAGGUUACGCCAGUUAACAGCCGGCGUAAUUGAUGGUAUGCGGAGAGGAAGGGACGGCUAACUCUGUGCCAGCAGCCGCGGUAAGACAGAGGUCCCGAGCGUUGUUCGGAUUCAUUGGGCGUAAAGGGUGUGUAGGAGGUUGGGUAAGUCAGGUGUGAAAUCUCAGAGCUUAACUCUGAAACUGCGCUUGAUACUGCUCGGCUAGAGGAUCGGAGGGGGUAACGGAAUUCAUGGUGUAGCAGUGAAAUGCGUAGAUAUCAUGAGGAACACCGGUGGCGAAGGCGGUUACCUGGAAGAUUCCUGACUCUGAAACACGAAAGCCAGGGGAGCAAACGGGAUUAGAUACCCCUGUAGUCC
This 450-nucleotide ribosomal RNA is filed under the name uncultured bacterium. Its description in RNAcentral is "bacterial SSU rRNA". It matches the Rfam family "Bacterial small subunit ribosomal RNA", at positions 355 to 796 of the family's 1533-position model. The record is from RNAcentral.